This 501-nucleotide ribosomal RNA is filed under the name uncultured bacterium. RNAcentral's name for it is "partial 16S ribosomal RNA". It matches the Rfam family "Bacterial small subunit ribosomal RNA", at positions 30 to 523 of the family's 1533-position model. The record is from RNAcentral.
AUUGAACGCUGGCGGCAGGCUUAACACAUGCAAGUCGAGCGGAGAUGAGGUGCUUGCACCUUAUCUUAGCGGCGGACGGGUGAGUAAUGCUUAGGAAUCUGCCUAUUAGUGGGGGACAACAUUCCGAAAGGAAUGCUAAUACCGCAUACGUCCUACGGGAGAAAGCAGGGGAUCUUCGGACCUUGCGCUAAUAGAUGAGCCUAAGUCGGAUUAGCUAGUUGGUGGGGUAAAGGCCUACCAAGGCGACGAUCUGUAGCGGGUCUGAGAGGAUGAUCCGCCACACUGGGACUGAGACACGGCCCAGACUCCUACGGGAGGCAGCAGUGGGGAAUAUUGGACGAUGGGGGGAACCCUGAUCCAGCCAUGCCGCGUGUGUGAAGAAGGCCUUAUGGUUGUAAAGCACUUUAAGCGAGGAGGAGGCUACUGAGACUAAUACUUUUGGAUAGUGGACGUUACUCGCAGAAUAAGCACCGGCUAACUCUGUGCCAGCAGCCGCAGUAA